GGACCACACGAACGUUAUUCGGAAUUACUGGGCUUAAAGGGUGCGUAGGCUGUGCAGAAAGUUGGGUGUGAAAGCCCUCGGCUUAACCGAGGAACUGCGCCCAAAACUACUGUGCUCGAGGGAGACAGAGGUGAGCGGAACUUAGGGUGGAGCGGUGAAAUGCGUUGAUAUCCUAAGGAACACCGGUGGCGAAAGCGGCUCACUGGGUCUCUUCUGACGCUGAUGCACGAAAGCUAGGGGAGCGAACGGGAUUAGAUACCCCGGUAGUCCUAGCCGUAAACUCUGAGCACUGGGUUGGAGGGUCCCUCAUAACCUUCCAGCCGUAGCGAAAGUGUUAAGUGCUCCGCCUGGGGAGUAUGGUCGCAAGGCUGAA
RNAcentral lists this ribosomal RNA (373 nucleotides) under uncultured bacterium. Its description in RNAcentral is "bacterial SSU rRNA". It matches the Rfam family "Bacterial small subunit ribosomal RNA", at positions 527 to 898 of the family's 1533-position model. The record is from RNAcentral.